This 253-nucleotide ribosomal RNA is filed under the name uncultured prokaryote. Its description in RNAcentral is "partial 16S ribosomal RNA". It matches the Rfam family "Bacterial small subunit ribosomal RNA", at positions 524 to 776 of the family's 1533-position model. The record is from RNAcentral.
GACGGAGGGUGCAAGCGUUGUUCGGAUUGACUGGGCGUAAAGGGCGUGUAGGCGGUUGGUUAAGUCGGGUGUGAAAGCCUGAGGCUCAGCCUCAGAAGUGCAUCCGAAACUAGCCAGCUGGAGCGCGAUAGAGGAGGGUGGAAUUCCUGGUGUAGCGGUGAAAUGCGUAGAUAUCAGGAGGAACACCGGCGGCGAAGGCGGCCCUCUGGAUCGUUGCUGACGCUGAGACGCGAAAGCGUGGGGAGCAAACAGG